GCGCAGGCUCCAGGACGGAUUCCAGGUGUGGGCUUCGCGGCAGGUUAGGCCCUUUGCCCGGAGCAUCUGCUGUGGAGGCUGCCCAGGAACCACUUCGCUUCCUCGCGUAACAUCGACUGGCUUUCCUUCGUGCCCACUGCCCUGGGCUGCAUGCGGUUCAGCUGGGGCUGACUCCACGCCCGGUUCCAGAGGAGGGAUGGGGCCCAGCCUUCUCCGCUUAUACUCUUCCCUGGCCGUGGUGAUUGGUCCAUGGGUGGGCUCCUAUCUCAAGUCCUUCUGAGAGGAGGGCUCCCUGAGACAGCCGAAGGAUAAAUAGCUGGUCCCCCAGCCUUAGCUUCGACUGCCCACAAGGGGUCUGGAGCAGAGAAACUAUGCUCAGCUUCCUUGUCCUUCGAACGGACCGGCGAGGAGGCAGCGGACGAGCAGCUCUUCGGGCCCACCUGCCGUCGGACCACCGUCUGGUCCCCCAGACCCCUGCUGAGCACCCGUACAUGUCAGCACUGGGCCAGGCCCCACCCAGCACGUUGUUCACACGUGAUCUCAGUGCUCACAACCACCUCCUGAGUGAGCUCAAGUCCUCUGUACUCGUUACAUCAGAGAUCGAUGGAUGA
RNAcentral lists this long non-coding RNA (611 nucleotides) under Equus asinus (donkey). Its description in RNAcentral is "lncRNA (ENSEASG00005038716.1)". Lineage: Eukaryota; Metazoa; Chordata; Mammalia; Perissodactyla; Equidae. The record is from RNAcentral.